This 522-nucleotide ribosomal RNA is filed under the name uncultured bacterium. RNAcentral's name for it is "bacterial SSU rRNA". It matches the Rfam family "Bacterial small subunit ribosomal RNA", at positions 777 to 1297 of the family's 1533-position model. The record is from RNAcentral.
AAUAGAUACCCGGGUAGUCCACGCCGUAAACGAUGAGUGCUAAGUGUUAGAGGGUUUCCGCCCUUUAGUGCUGCAGCUAACGCAUUAAGCACUCCGCCUGGGGAGUACGGCCGCAAGGCUGAAACUCAAAGGAAUUGACGGGGGCCCGCACAAGCGGUGGAGCAUGUGGUUUAAUUCGAAGCAACGCGAAGAACCUUACCAGGUCUUGACAUCCUCUGUUAACCCUAGAGAUAGGGCGUUCCCCUUCGGGGGACAGAGUGACAGGUGGUGCAUGGUUGUCGUCAGCUCGUGUCGUGAGAUGUUGGGUUAAGUCCCGCAACGAGCGCAACCCUUGAUCUUAGUUGCCAGCAUUCAGUUGGGCACUCUAAGGUGACUGCCGGUGAUAAACCGGAGGAAGGUGGGGAUGACGUCAAAUCAUCAUGCCCCUUAUGACCUGGGCUACACACGUGCUACAAUGGAUGGUACAAAGAGCUGCGAACCCGCGAGGGUAAGCGAAUCUCAUAAAGCCAUUCUCAGUUCGGA